Molecule: long non-coding RNA, 327 nt
Organism: Cannabis sativa
Lineage: Eukaryota; Viridiplantae; Streptophyta; Magnoliopsida; Rosales; Cannabaceae
Exons: 2
Source: RefSeq, a predicted model, not a curated record
CUGCCCAGAAAAUUUGUGCUGUCGCUACUGCCGCGGAGUCAAAGAAGGAAGAGAAGGUUGAAGAGAUAGAAGAAUCAGACGAGGAUGAUAUGAUUUUCAUUCUCUUUGACUAGAAGCUUUGAUUGGAAGAUUUUGAGGUUUUGCUAUUGGAAUUUAGUUUUUCAGUCUCCAAUUUAUAUGUAUUUGUAUUCUGGGUUUGGUUGAGGAAUUUUUUUUUGAGAUUUUUGGGUGAGAAAAAUUUCUGGGUUUGGGAUGCAAAACAAUGGUAAACACGAUGAGGGAGAUGAAGAUUUAGGUUUUUUAUUAAUAUUAUUAUUAUUUUGUGUA